GGACUCCCUGGCUGGCUGGAAUUGCCACCACUUACCACUUGCUGGAUUUCCCCGAUGCUGAUGCUGACUCCUGUAGGAGCGCCUGCCUGUCUCCAUGGUAACAGAUCCUGCAUACUAUUCUCCUAGUUAGAUUUUCUUCCCCCAUUCUGCACCUGGACAAUCAGCCUAGCACCUGCCCCAUUCUAGUAGCCAUCCCUGUGUCUCAAGUCUCAGUGUUUUCCAGCCUGUGAUUUCCAAGCAUGCGAAGUUGGCUAUGUGACCUUGGAGUCUCCUAGGUGAAAACGUUGGAGGCCAUGACAUAGAUGCCAACA
This 311-nucleotide long non-coding RNA is filed under the name Homo sapiens (human). RNAcentral describes it as "HSALNT0021880". The record is from RNAcentral. Lineage: Eukaryota; Metazoa; Chordata; Mammalia; Primates; Hominidae.